UGGGGAAUAUUGCGCAAUGGGGGAAACCCUGACGCAGCAACGCCGCGUGAAGGAUGAAGGUCUUCGGAUUGUAAACUUUUGUCUUUAGGGACGAUAAUGACGGUACCUAAGGAGGAAGCCACGGCUAACUACGUGCCAGCAGCCGCGGUAAUACGUAGGUGGCAAGCGUUGUCCGGAUUUACUGGGUGUAAAGGGCGUGUAGACGGGUAAGAAAGUCAGAUGUGAAAUGCCGCAGCUUAACUGCGGAGCUGCAUUUGAAACUUUUUAUCUUGAGUGUGGGAGAGGAAAGCGGAAUUCCUAGUGUAGCGGUGAAAUGCGUAGAUAUUAGGAGGAACACCAGUGGCGAAGGCGGCUUUCUGGACCAUAACUGACGUUGAGGCGCGAAAGCGUGGGGAGCAAACAGG
RNAcentral lists this ribosomal RNA (404 nucleotides) under uncultured bacterium. Its description in RNAcentral is "bacterial SSU rRNA". It matches the Rfam family "Bacterial small subunit ribosomal RNA", at positions 355 to 776 of the family's 1533-position model. The record is from RNAcentral.